GACGAACGCUGGCGGCGUGCUUAACACAUGCAAGUCGAACGGAAAGGCCCUGCUUUUGUGGGGUGCUCGAGUGGCGAACGGGUGAGUAACACGUGAGUAACCUGCCCUUGACUUUGGGAUAACUUCAGGAAACUGGGGCUAAUACCGGAUAGGAGCUCCUGCUGCAUGGGGGGGGUUGGAAAGUGUAGGCGGUUGGGGAUGGACGCGCGGCUUAUCAGCUUGUUGGUGGGGUAGUGGCUUACCACGGCUUUGACGGGUAGCCGGCGUGAGAGGGUGACCGGCCACAUUGGGACUGAGAUACGGCCCAGACUCCUACGGGAGGCAGCAGGGGGGAAUAUUGCACAAUGGGCGGAAGCCUGAUGCAGCAACGCCGCGUGCGGGAUGACGGCCUUCGGGUUGUAAACCGCUUUCGCCUGUGACGAAGCGUGAGUGACGGUAAUGGGUAAAGAAGCACCGGCUAACUACGUG
RNAcentral lists this ribosomal RNA (468 nucleotides) under uncultured bacterium. Its description in RNAcentral is "partial 16S ribosomal RNA". It matches the Rfam family "Bacterial small subunit ribosomal RNA", at positions 28 to 507 of the family's 1533-position model. The record is from RNAcentral.